GGUCCCGUAGUAGAAUGGAUACUACGAAUGCCUCCGGAGCAUUAGAUACAGGUUCGAUUCCUGUCGGGACCACCA
Molecule: transfer RNA, 75 nt
Filed under: Bacteroidota bacterium
Lineage: Bacteria; Pseudomonadati; Bacteroidota
Also listed under: 1 other name
Description: Bacteroidetes bacterium (grounwater metagenome) tRNA-Arg
Rfam family: tRNA
About the family: Transfer RNA (tRNA) molecules are approximately 80 nucleotides in length. Their secondary structure includes four short double-helical elements and three loops (D, anti-codon, and T loops). Further hydrogen bonds mediate the characteristic L-shaped molecular structure. tRNAs have two regions of fundamental functional importance: the anti-codon, which is responsible for specific mRNA codon recognition, and the 3' end, to which the tRNAs corresponding amino acid is attached (by aminoacyl-tRNA synthetases). tRNAs cope with the degeneracy of the genetic code in two manners: having more than one tRNA (with a specific anti-codon) for a particular amino acid; and 'wobble' base-pairing, i.e. permitting non-standard base-pairing at the 3rd anti-codon position.
Source: RNAcentral